This 1981-nucleotide long non-coding RNA is filed under the name Salvia miltiorrhiza (redroot sage). RNAcentral's name for it is "long non-coding RNA (SMIL_LNC010928)". Lineage: Eukaryota; Viridiplantae; Streptophyta; Magnoliopsida; Lamiales; Lamiaceae. The record is from RNAcentral.
UUAUAAUAGGCUCAGCAGUUCGCCCUGCUUUCAAGGCUAGCUCUGCUAUGGCAAUGGCCAAGGCUCCGGCAAGCAGGCUGCCUAGUGCUCUGUUGAAUCCUCUGUUGAAAGUGGCACCUUCACACAUAACGCCCGAGAUUCUUGAGGUGAGUUUAUCGUUAUAUUGAACUGUGAUUGUGUGUAUAUUAUGCAUAGUAGCUAGUUUUGCUUGCACGUACCAACGGUGUAUUCAAACAUGAUGGCAACGGUGAGGAUGGACCAGAUAAUGCUGGUGCCGAAAACUUGGUAAGGCGCUCUGCAUAGUAUCAGAAGAGAUACGAGAAGAACAGCAAUCCCCACUUUGAGUGAAAAUGUCACUCUGUUGCUAUCUUCUUUGCAAAACUCCCACACUCUCAUAAUGAAGUUUCUGCAGCUGAAUUUCUCAUCACUACUAUUCUUGCUAGCUUCUGAUGCUUUUUUCUCAUUGCUGAUAGGAGGGAUGCUGAUCUCAAUGCUACCUUUCGCGCCAUUCAUUCUCCAACCGGACCUUUGUUGAUGAUGAUGAUCAGGAACAACGGGUGAGUGAAACUUUAUAAGGUGAAAAAUGGGGGAGAUGAGUGUGAUUUAAAGAGGGGGAUUUUGGCUAAGUGGUUGAUGCAACUCGAUGAGGCAAGCAGGAUUAUGAUAUAUGGAAAAAAAAAAUAGAAUAAUACAGCAAUAAUAGAAGAAAAGAUGGAGCUAAACACUUGGAUAAAGAAGAUGCUUAAACCUCAAUAAUGUGGCAUAAAUGGAGAAUUAGAAUCUAUAAAAUAUUGCAGACCUUGCAUGCUUCAUUGUCUAUGCUCUUCAUACUAUCUUUCUUAUGUCACUCGUAACGAAAAGAGAUCCGCAUUGACAACAUAUGUACUGGCCGCUCUAGCCUCUAGUCUACAGAUCAAGAACAAAAAUAGAGUGUUUUUUUUGUGCUUUAUUUUGUAGUUUUGUGAUGCAAAAGUAGUCAUUGGCUGAAUAAUAAAAAUAUACCUUUACCAUUGCAGUGAAUAAUAUCUAGAACCAGGCCACUGAGGCCUGUGAGAAACAGGAUUACGACGUUGCUUAUUGCUCCAAAACCUAAUAAUUCAGUUACAAAAUGCAUGCUAUGCAGCAAGUUGCUGCAAUCAUAGAAAUUUGGAAUAUGUUUCAUUCCUCCAACAACACUCCUUUUGUCAAUAAGCAUUUGAUGUUUGUGUGUUAAUCCUAUCCUCACAAUAAUUCUAUCUUCCCCAACUAUUCGUCCGUGUUAUCCGAAAUUCUUACUGUAUUCCUAGAAAUAAUUGAAUAUGAGCACAUAUUCAUUGAAAAAAACAAAAAACAAAACUGAUAAUGAAGAUUAUGGAGAGUGACUGAGAUAGCAUAUGAUUUUGACUAGAUAUAUAGGUUGUUAUUUUGGUAUAGAUUUGAGCAUUUGGUAUAUAUUUUCGGAUGAUUGAUGCUGCCUUUGAGUUGAACACAUUAAUUCUGUGUUAAUAUUGUGUUUAAAUUAAGGCAUCAGAUACAUAUGAUGAGGUAUAUAUACUCAAAUUUUCUUGUUUUGGGGCUCUGACUAACCACACAACAGCACAACAGAACAUAUUCUGCUGCCUCGGAUUUCCUUUCACAAAAUUACACUUCCCAAAUUCAUUAACCUCUUCUUUUUUUGACUAGGAAUAAAUGAAUUAAGGAGCAUCAAUCAACCAAAGGGACUGUAUGAUGAUCAUAUUCUAUCAAUUUCAACAAAUAUGGCUUUCUUUGCUUCAAAUCUAUACCUAUUUUACAUGUUGAACGCGUAUUAACUGCGGAUUCAUGCAUCAGCUGCAUGAAUUGGAUGAUAUGGGAGGUUGUUGGUUCCAUUGUGUUUUUGAAGGUGCAUGAGGACCAAUUGGAUCUUGUGAGUUUGGUAGCAACCGUGUUACCAUGUCAUGUCUAUUCCUUAUUAUUUACAUGUGUAUAUAGACAGUAUCUAUAAUAUGUAAUUCACUUAGCA